AAUAAUUGUGUUUGCUCGCAAACGAAAAAAAAAACCGACUUCAAUUACAUCGACAAGUAAUACAACGUAGAUCGACGAAAACAUAGUCAAGCAACUACGCCUUAUCAAAGAUUACUCAAAAAGUAGUCAACAGAUCUCGAUAAAAUUUAUAUGUAACCACAUGAUAAACAUCAGCUUUCGAUUAAAUUAAAAAUUAUCAAAAUCGGUACACCCAGUAAAAAGUUAUUACGGAUUUUCGAGAGUUUCCCUCGAUUUCUCUGGGAUCCCAUCAUCAGAUCCUGGUUUCCUUAUCAUGGUGCCAAACUAGGGAUAUCUCCUUUCCAACAAAA
Molecule: unclassified non-coding RNA, 329 nt
Filed under: Melitaea cinxia (Glanville fritillary)
Lineage: Eukaryota; Metazoa; Arthropoda; Insecta; Lepidoptera; Nymphalidae
Description: misc RNA ENSMCXG00005018270.1
Source: RNAcentral